GCUUGUGGUCUAGAGGUAUGAUUCUCGCUUAAGAUGCGAGAGGUCCUGGGUUCAAAUCCCGGACAAGCC
Molecule: transfer RNA, 69 nt
Filed under: Danio rerio (zebrafish)
Lineage: Eukaryota; Metazoa; Chordata; Actinopteri; Cypriniformes; Danionidae
Rfam family: tRNA
About the family: Transfer RNA (tRNA) molecules are approximately 80 nucleotides in length. Their secondary structure includes four short double-helical elements and three loops (D, anti-codon, and T loops).
Source: Rfam by way of RNAcentral